Molecule: non-coding RNA, 2888 nt
Organism: Marivita cryptomonadis
Lineage: Bacteria; Pseudomonadati; Pseudomonadota; Alphaproteobacteria; Rhodobacterales; Roseobacteraceae
Source: Rfam
AAUCAAGCGCGAGAAGGGCGUUUGGUGAAUGCCUAGGCAGUAAGAGGCGAUGAAGGACGUGAUACUCUGCGAUAAGCCAUGAGGAGCUGAGAAUAAGCUUUGAUCCAUGGAUUUCCGAAUGGGGCAACCCACCUGACAGUUUGAUAUAAUUGCCUUUGGGCAGCUUAUAUCUUGCUGAAACAGGUACUUAUUACCUGAAUACAUAGGGUUUUAAGAGCAAACCCGGGGAACUGAAACAUCUAAGUACCCGGAGGAAAGGACAUCAAUUGAUACUCCCCUAGUAGCGGCGAGCGAACGGGGACCAGCCGAGCCUUGAGCGUGACUAGAAUGUGCUGGAAAGCACAGCCAUAGCGGGUGACAGCCCCGUAUAGGAAGCGUGAUGGGACGUAUUAAGUAGGGCGGGACACGUGAAAUCCUGUCUGAAGAUCGGAGGACCACCUUCGAAGGCUAAGUACUCCUUACUGACCGAUAGUGAACCAGUACCGUGAGGGAAAGGUGAAAAGCACCCCGACGAGGGGAGUGAAACAGUACCUGAAACCGAACGCCUACAAUCAGUCGGAGCCCCCUUGCGGGGUGACGGCGUACCUUUUGUAUAAUGGGUCAUCGACUUGGUCUAUCUAGCAAGCUUAAGCCGUUAGGUGUAGGCGCAGCGAAAGCGAGUCUGAAUAGGGCGCAUGAGUUAGAUGGAUCAGACCCGAAACCGAGUGAUCUAGGCAUGGCCAGGUUGAAGGUUGGGUAACACCAACUGGAGGACCGAACCCACAUCCGUUGAAAAGGAUCGGGAUGAGCUGUGCCUAGGGGUGAAAGGCCAAUCAAACUCGGAGAUAGCUGGUUCUCUGCGAAAUCUAUUUAGGUAGAGCGUCAUCCGAAUACCCCCGGGGGUAGAGCACUGGAUGGGUAAUGGGGCCCCACAGGCUUACUGAUCCUAACCAAACUCCGAAUACCGGGGAGUACUAGAUGGCAGACACACAGCGGAUGCUAACGUCCGUUGUGGAGAGGGAAACAACCCUGACCUACAGCUAAGGCCCCCAAUUCAUGGCUAAGUGGGAAAGCAGGUGGGACGACCAAAACAACCAGGAGGUUGGCUUAGAAGCAGCCAUCCUUUAAAGAUAGCGUAACAGCUCACUGGUCUAAAUAAGUUGUCCUGCGGCGAAGAUGUAACGGGGCUCAAGCCAUGAGCCGAAGCUUAGGAUGCACAUAGUGCAUGGUAGCAGAGCGUAGUGUGACAUAGGACUACGUCUCUUCUAUUUUAGCGGACCGUUUGGGUCUGCUUGGGUGCUAACGCGCUCAAGUAGCCCUCCGGGCGGUAGCGCAAAAUAAUGGAGACGAAGUCUUUUCUGUGAAGCCGGCGUGUGAGCGAUCCGGUGGAGAGAUCACUAGUGAGAAUGAUGACAUGAGUAGCGACAAAGAGUGUGAGAGACACUCUCGCCGAAAGUCCAAGGGUUCCUGCUUAAAGCUAAUCUGAGCAGGGUAAGCCGGCCCCUAAGCCGAGGCCGAAAGGCGUAGGCGAUGGGAACCACGUUAAUAUUCGUGGGCCAGAUGGAAGUGACGGAUCUCGAAGAUUGUUCCUCCUUAUCGGAUUGGAGGGGCCGUUCAGAGGUUCCUGGAAAUAGCUCCAUCAUCAGACCGUACCCUAAACCGACACAGGUGGACUGGUAGAGAAUACCAAGGCGCUUGAGAGAACGAUGUUGAAGGAACUCGGCAAAAUACCUCCGUAAGUUCGCGAGAAGGAGGCCCGGUUCCUAGGCAACUAGGGGCUGGGGGCACAAACCAGGGGGUGGCGACUGUUUAUUAAAAACACAGGGCUCUGCGAAGUCGCAAGACGACGUAUAGGGUCUGACGCCUGCCCGGUGCCUGAAGGUUAAAAGGAGGGGUGAGAGCUCUGAAUUGAAGCCCAGGUAAACGGCGGCCGUAACUAUAACGGUCCUAAGGUAGCGAAAUUCCUUGUCGGGUAAGUUCCGACCUGCACGAAUGGCGUAACGACUUCCCCGCUGUCUCCAACAUCGACUCAGCGAAAUUGAAUUGCCUGUCAAGAUGCAGGCUUCCCGCGGUUAGACGGAAAGACCCCGUGCACCUUUACUACAGCUUCGCACUGGCAUCAGGAUUGUGAUGUGCAGGAUAGGUGGUAGGCUUUGAAGCGGUGACGCCAGUCAUCGUGGAGCCUCCCUUGAGAUACCACCCUUCGCACUCUUGAUGUCUAACCGCGGUCCGUUAUCCGGAUCCGGGACCCUGCGUGGCGGGUAGUUUGACUGGGGCGGUCGCCUCCUAAAGCGUAACGGAGGCGCGCGAAGGUUGGCUCAGAGCGGUCGGAAAUCGCUCGUUGAGUGCAAUGGCAGAAGCCAGCCUGACUGCAAGACUGACAAGUCGAGCAGAGUCGAAAGACGGCCAUAGUGAUCCGGUGGUCCCAAGUGGGAGGGCCAUCGCUCAACGGAUAAAAGGUACGCCGGGGAUAACAGGCUGAUACUGCCCAAGAGUCCAUAUCGACGGCAGUGUUUGGCACCUCGAUGUCGGCUCAUCUCAUCCUGGGGCUGGAGCAGGUCCCAAGGGUACGGCUGUUCGCCGUUUAAAGAGGUACGUGAGCUGGGUUUAGAACGUCGUGAGACAGUUCGGUCCCUAUCUGCCGUGGGUGUAGGAUACUUGAGAGGAGUUGCCCCUAGUACGAGAGGACCGGGGUGAACGAUCCACUGGUGGACCUGUUGUGGCGCCAGCCGCAGUGCAGGGUAGCUAUGAUCGGAAAGGAUAACCGCUGAAGGCAUCUAAGCGGGAAGCCCCCCUCAAAACAAGGUAUCCCUGAGGGCCGUGGUAGACCACCACGUCGAUAGGCCGGAGGUGUAAGCGCAGCAAUGCGUUCAGCUGACCGGUACUAAUGGCCCGAUAGGCUUGAUUUG